This 465-nucleotide ribosomal RNA is filed under the name Vreelandella stevensii. Its description in RNAcentral is "partial 16S ribosomal RNA". It matches the Rfam family "Bacterial small subunit ribosomal RNA", at positions 338 to 795 of the family's 1533-position model. Lineage: Bacteria; Pseudomonadati; Pseudomonadota; Gammaproteobacteria; Oceanospirillales; Halomonadaceae. The record is from RNAcentral.
CCUACGGGAGGCAGCAGUGGGGAAUAUUGGACAAUGGGCGAAAGCCUGAUCCAGCCAUGCCGCGUGUGUGAAGAAGGCCUUCGGGUUGUAAAGCACUUUCAGUGGGGAAGAAAGCCUUGGGGCUAAUACCCUCGAGGAAGGACAUCACCCACAGAAGAAGCACCGGCUAACUCCGUGCCAGCAGCCGCGGUAAUACGGAGGGUGCGAGCGUUAAUCGGAAUUACUGGGCGUAAAGCGCGCGUAGGCGGUCUGAUAAGCCGGUUGUGAAAGCCCCGGGCUCAACCUGGGAACGGCAUCCGGAACGGUCAGGCUAGAGUGCAGGAGAGGAAGGUAGAAUUCCCGGUGUAGCGGUGAAAUGCGUAGAGAUCGGGAGGAAUACCAGUGGCGAAGGCGGCCUUCUGGACUGACACUGACGCUGAGGUGCGAAAGCGUGGGUAGCAAACAGGAUUAGAUACCCUUGUAGUC